This 253-nucleotide ribosomal RNA is filed under the name uncultured bacterium. RNAcentral describes it as "partial 16S ribosomal RNA". It matches the Rfam family "Bacterial small subunit ribosomal RNA", at positions 524 to 776 of the family's 1533-position model. The record is from RNAcentral.
UACGUAGGGUGCGAGCGUUGUCCGGAAUUAUUGGGCGUAAAGAGCUCGUAGGCGGUUUGUCGCGUCGGCCGUGAAAUCUCCACGCUUAACGUGGAGCGUGCGGUCGAUACGGGCAGACUUGAGUUCGGUAGGGGAGACUGGAAUUCCUGGUGUAGCGGUGAAAUGCGCAGAUAUCAGGAGGAACACCGAUGGCGAAGGCUGGUCUCUGGGCCACUACUGACGCUGAGAAGCGAAAGCAUGGGGAGCGAACAGG